Long non-coding RNA from Poecile atricapillus (Black-capped chickadee), 286 nucleotides. RefSeq lists it as uncharacterized. The record is from RefSeq and is a predicted model, not a curated record. NCBI's taxonomy places the organism in Eukaryota, Metazoa, Chordata, Aves, Passeriformes, Paridae. The transcript has 3 exons.
UUCUGCUCCUGUGCUUCCAGCUUCCUCACAAAGAAGAGCAGCUCCCACCAUUCGGCACGGCUCAGUGUCUCUGCAGCCUUGGGCAGCCGCUGGCCCAGGAAAGAACUCAUGCUGGGCAGAAGAGGUCCUCACUGUACCAUAGUUUGCUGGGAGAAAGGAAGGGCCAAUGAUCUCGACCAUGUGCCAGUGAACCCAGUACGUGCAGCCCAGAGCUUGCCAGUACACCUGAGGAGGACAGCCCAACAGACACCCAGCUGGGGGAAUGCAAGGCCAACCCCACUGUUCC